RNAcentral lists this ribosomal RNA (459 nucleotides) under uncultured bacterium. Its description in RNAcentral is "partial 16S ribosomal RNA". It matches the Rfam family "Bacterial small subunit ribosomal RNA", at positions 355 to 829 of the family's 1533-position model. The record is from RNAcentral.
UGGGGAAUAUUGCACAAUGGGCGAAAGCCUGAUGCAGCAACGCCGCGUGAGUGAUGAAGGCCUUCGGGUUGUAAAGCUCUGUCCUUUGGGACGAUAAUGACGGUACCAAAGGAGGAAGCCACGGCUAACUACGUGCCAGCAGCCGCGGUAAUACGUAGGUGGCAAGCGUUGUCCGGAUUUACUGGGCGUAAAGGAUGCGUAGGCGGAUUUUUAAGUGAGAUGUGAAAUACCCGGGCUUAACUUGGGUGCUGCAUUUCAAACUGGGAAUCUAGAGUGCGGGAAGAGGAGAAUGGAAUUCCUAUGUAGCGGUGAAAUGCGUAGAGAUUAGGAAGAACACCAGUGGCGAAAGGCGAUUCUCUGGACCGUAACUGACGCUGAGGCAUGAAAGCGUGGGUAGCAAAACAGGAUUAGAUACCCUGGUAGUCCACGCCGUAAACGAUGAGUACUAGGUGUAGGAGG